RNAcentral lists this transfer RNA (76 nucleotides) under Escherichia coli. Its description in RNAcentral is "tRNA-Gly". It matches the Rfam family "tRNA". From Rfam's summary of the family: Transfer RNA (tRNA) molecules are approximately 80 nucleotides in length. Their secondary structure includes four short double-helical elements and three loops (D, anti-codon, and T loops). The record is from RNAcentral. RNAcentral also lists the same sequence under 3 other names. Lineage: Bacteria; Pseudomonadati; Pseudomonadota; Gammaproteobacteria; Enterobacterales; Enterobacteriaceae.
GCGGGAAUAGCUCAGUUGGUAGAGCACGACCUUGCCAAGGUCGGGGUGGCGAGUUCGAGUCUCGUUUCCCGCUCCA